This 253-nucleotide ribosomal RNA is filed under the name uncultured bacterium. RNAcentral's name for it is "partial 16S ribosomal RNA". It matches the Rfam family "Bacterial small subunit ribosomal RNA", at positions 524 to 776 of the family's 1533-position model. The record is from RNAcentral.
UACGUAGGGUGCGAGCGUUAAUCGGAAUUACUGGGCGUAAAGCGUGCGCAGGCGGUUCGUUGUGUCGGCGGUGAAAGCCCCGGGCUCAACCUGGGAAUGGCCGUUGAAACUGUCGGGCUUGAGUAUGGGAGAGGUGAGUGGAAUUUCCGGUGUAGCGGUGAAAUGCGUAGAUAUCGGAAGGAACACCUGUGGCGAAAGCGGCUCACUGGACCAUAACUGACGCUGAGGCGCGAAAGCUAGGGGAGCAAACAGG